AGUGAACGCUGGCGGUAGGCCUAACACAUGCAAGUCGAACGGCAGCACAGUAAGAGCUUGCUCUUACGGGUGGCGAGUGGCGGACGGGUGAGGAAUACAUCGGAAUCUACUUUUUCGUGGGGGAUAACGUAGGGAAACUUACGCUAAUACCGCAUACGACCUACGGGUGAAAGCAGGGGAUCUUCGGACCUUGCGCGAUUGAAUGAGCCGAUGUCGGAUUAGCUAGUUGGCGGGGUAAGGGCCCACCAAGGCGACGAUCCGUAGCUGGUCUGAGAGGAUGAUCAGCCACAUUGGAACUGAGACACGGUCCAGACUCCGACGGGAGGCAGCAGUGGGGAAGAUUGGACAAUGGGCGCAAGCCUGAUCCAGCCAUACCGCGUGGGUGAAGAAGGCCUUCGGGUUGUAAAGCCCUUUUGUUGGGAAAGAAAAGCAGCAGGUUAAUACCCCGCUGUUCUGACGGUACCCAAAGAAGAAGCACCGGCUAACUUCGUG
RNAcentral lists this ribosomal RNA (492 nucleotides) under uncultured bacterium. Its description in RNAcentral is "partial 16S ribosomal RNA". It matches the Rfam family "Bacterial small subunit ribosomal RNA", at positions 29 to 507 of the family's 1533-position model. The record is from RNAcentral.